This 253-nucleotide ribosomal RNA is filed under the name uncultured bacterium. Its description in RNAcentral is "partial 16S ribosomal RNA". It matches the Rfam family "Bacterial small subunit ribosomal RNA", at positions 524 to 776 of the family's 1533-position model. The record is from RNAcentral.
UACGUAGGGGGCGAGCGUUAUCCGGAAUUAUUGGGCGUAAAGAGCUCGUAGGCGGUUUGUCGCGUCGAAUGUGAAAACCCGGGGCUCAACCCCGGGCCUGCAUUCGAUACGGGCAGACUAGAGUUCGGUAGGGGAGUCUGGAAUUCCUGGUGUAGCGGUGAAAUGCGCAGAUAUCAGGAGGAACACCGGUGGCGAAGGCGGGACUCUGGGCCGAUACUGACGCUGAGGAGCGAAAGCGUGGGGAGCAAACAGG